RNAcentral lists this ribosomal RNA (497 nucleotides) under uncultured bacterium. Its description in RNAcentral is "partial 16S ribosomal RNA". It matches the Rfam family "Bacterial small subunit ribosomal RNA", at positions 28 to 507 of the family's 1533-position model. The record is from RNAcentral.
GAUGAACGCUGGCGGCGUGCUUAAUACAUGCAAGUCGAGCGAACGGACGAGAAGCUUUCUUCUCUGAUGUUAGCGGCGGAGGGGUGUGUAACAUGUGGAUAACACACCUAUAAGACUGGGAUAACUUCGUGAAACCGGUGCUAAUACCGGCAGAUCUUCUGAACCGCAUGGUUCAAAAGUGACAGACGGUUUUGCAUUAACUUAUAGAUGGAUCCGUGCUGCAUUAGCUAGUUGGUUAGGUAACGGCUUACCAAGGCAACGAUGCAUAGCCGACCUGAGAGGGUGAUCGGCCACACUGGAACUGAGACACGGUCCAGACUCCUACGGGAGGCAGCAGUAGGGAAUCUUCCGCAAUGGGCGAAAGCCUGACGGAGCAACGCCGCGUGAGUGAUGAAGGUCUUCGGAUCGUAAAACUCUGUUAGUAGGGAAGAACAUAUGUGUAAGUAACUGUGCACAUAUUGACGGUACCUAAUCAGAAAGCCACGGCUAACUACGUG